AAUGAACGCUGGCGGCGCGCCUAAUACAUGCAAGUCGAGCGAGAAGACGUAGCAAUACGUUUGUAAAGCGGCGAACGGGUGAGGAAUACAUGGGUAACCUACCCUCGAGUGGGGAAUAACUAGCCGAAAGGUUAGCUAAUACCGCGUACGCUUCUUGGACUUCGGUUCAGGGAGGAAAGCGAUGCCGAGGGUAUCGCGCUCUUGGAUGGGCUCAUGUCCUAUCAGCUUGUUGGGAGGUAACGGCUCACCAAGGCUUCGACGGGUAGCUGGUCUGAGAGGACGAUCAGCCACACUGGCACUGCGACACGGGCCAGACUCCUACGGGAGGCAGCAGUAAGGAAUAUUGCGCAAUGGGCGAAAGCCUGACGCAGCGACGCCGCGUGAGGGAUGAAGGUCUUCGGAUUGUAAACCUCUGUCACCGGGGACGAAAAGCCUUGAAUAAUAAUUCAAGGCCUGACUUAACCCGGAGAGGAAGCAGUGGCUAACUCU
Molecule: ribosomal RNA, 489 nt
Filed under: uncultured bacterium
Lineage: Bacteria
Description: bacterial SSU rRNA
Rfam family: Bacterial small subunit ribosomal RNA
Source: RNAcentral